GCCCGGAGAUGGAUUCUGAGACACGAAUCCAGACCCUACGGGGUGCAGCAGGCGCGAAAACUUGGCAAUGCGAGAAAUCGUGACCAGGGAACUCCAAGUGGCUGGGGUAAGACCCAGUCUUUUCUUGACUCUUCAAAGGUCUUGGAAUAAGAGGUGGGUAAGGACGGUGCCAGCCGCCGCGGUAAUACCGGCGCCUCAAGUGGUAGUCGAUUUUAUUGGGCCUAAAACGUCCGUAGCCUGUUUGGUACAUUCGUGGGUAAAUCAACCAGCUCAACUGGUUGAAUUCUGCGAGCACGGCCAGACUUGGGACCGGGAGAGGUGUGGGGUACGCUCAGGGUAGGGGUAAAAUCCUGUCAUCCUGAGCGGACCACCUGUUGCGAAGGCGCCACACUAGAACGGAUCCGACGGUCAGGGACGAAGCCUAGGGGCACGAACCGGAUUAGAUACCCGGGUAGUCCUAGGUGUAAACGCUGUGGACUUGGUGUUGGGGAUUCUCCGAGGAUCUUCAGUGCCGAAGCGAAGGUGAUAAGUCCACUGCCUGGGGAGUACGGUCGCAAGGCUGAAACUUAAAGGAAUUGGCGGGGGAGCACCGCAACCUGAGGAUUGUGCGGUUUAAUUGGAUUCAACGCCGGAA
Molecule: ribosomal RNA, 634 nt
Filed under: uncultured Candidatus Poseidoniales archaeon
Lineage: Archaea; Methanobacteriati; Thermoplasmatota; Candidatus Poseidoniia; Candidatus Poseidoniales
Description: bacterial SSU rRNA
Rfam family: Archaeal small subunit ribosomal RNA
Source: RNAcentral